Molecule: ribosomal RNA, 450 nt
Filed under: uncultured Glomeromycotina
Lineage: Eukaryota; Fungi; Glomeromycota
Description: SSU rRNA
Rfam family: Eukaryotic small subunit ribosomal RNA
Source: RNAcentral
AGCAGCCGCGGUAAUUCCAGCUCCAAUAGCGUAUAUUAAAGUUGUUGCAGUUAAAAAGCUCGUAGUUGAAUUUCGGGAUCAGUACGCUGGUCGUGCCUUCGGUAUGUACUGGUGUUACUGGUUCCUACCUUCUGACGAACCGUCAUGUCAUUAAUUUGGUGUGGCGGGGAAUCAGGACUGUUACUUUGAAAAAAUUAGAGUGUUUAAAGCAGGCUCGCGCUUGAAUACAUUAGCAUGGAAUAAUGAAAUAGGACGUUCGAUCCUAUUUUGUUGGUUUCUAGGAUUGACGUAAUGAUUAAUAGGGAUAGUUGGGGGCAUUAGUAUUCAAUUGUCAGAGGUGAAAUUCUUGGAUUUAUUGAAGACUAACUACUGCGAAAGCAUUUGCCAAGGAUGUUUUCAUUAAUCAAAGAACGAAAGUUAGGGGAUCGAAGACGAUCAGAUACCGUCGUA